AAAACAAAACAAAACAAAAACAAAACAGUGAAAUCUAUUCAGAACAAAAUACGAAGGGUGCGACUGUUGCAGAGGAGCUUGGAAUUUGUACAAAUCCACAGAGAGAAAGGGAGAGAGGGGGAGAGAGAGACAGCUGCAGAAUUUUAACUCAAAACAUGCUGGCCUAUCAACAAAAAGUAUCCCCCAAUACAAUAACCACUCCUACCACAUGAAUUGCUGCUGCACUCCACUCCACCAUCUUCUGUCACAUGUAUUUGAACAGGCUUAGGACUCGGGGCAGGAGCUGAUGACGACAUCUAUUUCGAGUGCGUUACGUUAUGGGGAUUUCUAAAAGCUAGACUGCGAAGAUAACACGCUGCCAGCUUUAACCUGUUGCUCUUCGGUAUGCUCAAGUAACAUAGCAAGGACUUCUGCCUGUGUUUUGGUUCCCUUGCUAAAACCAAGAAGCCAAGGUGCUUCCUUCUGGGCAAAGUGAAAGCUCUUUCUCUCCUUCAGAUAAAGGAAAAUAUGCCCUAUUCUCAUGCUCUGAAAAGUGUGAAAAGGGGACUGUUCAGCUAAAUCACAUCUUGCUAUCAACCUCCUGAGCACAAUGCUGUAAUCUUUUCCUCUUCUCCUUCCACCUGUUAGCAAUUAUCUACUUGUGACAGCUACAUAAAACAGUUUAAAUUUUAACACUGACACUCAAUCAAAGGCAUUUCCAGGAAACAAAGUCUCCUUAAAAAUAAAAGAGAUUAUGCAACGGAAUCUCCCUAACUACUUUGAUUUUUAUUACUGUGAUUGUUUAUAUUGUCUCUUGAGAGCAGGUCAGCUGUCCAAAAGGAAACACCAAAACGUCCUGAGUAACAGCUGACAAUGCUCAAAAUUCUUGGUCUUAGAUCUGCAUUACGUAACUUUUCUACUAGAGGGUAGCAUCUCAAACAUGUACUACAGCAGCGGCAGCCCCUAACCCAUCAACCACGCACUCUGCAGCCAACCCAAUUCACUCAAAGUCCUGUAACAGGCACCUAUUUUUUUUUAAACCUUUUAGAUAUUUAUUCAACGUAAUUUCAGUAUUACUUCACAGCCUAUCUUAAGUGUUUUGAUUCGCAAUAGUUACAACAAAAAUGUAAGACUAUCUAUGCAAUAUGAAUCAAUACAUUUAAGGUAUCAACUUAAUAAUUCAUAAAUCAUUGUUAAUAACUUAAAUAUAGGUACUAUCACAUGUAGGAACACAUUAUCACAAAGCAGCCAUACCAUAUUGUCAGUGUCACUUCACCAAUUUGUCAUAGCAUUUUAGAAUAUAAAAUUUCUAGGAAAUACUAUGAGAAACAAGCAUAUUCGAAAUAUCAAGAAAGAUUCCAGAAAAGGAGUAUAUUCUUUACCCUGACUACAAAUGAAUUUUAAUUGCAACUUUUUUGAGGUGUUGAUCUUUUGCUUCUGAAAUUCAAAGAAAGUAUAUACUUACCUAGGCAUCAAUUACUAUUAUGUUUAAUACUUUUCCAUGAAGAUACUAGGGAUGAAGUGAAUGACAAAUCUAUGUCAAAUUUUUGAACUUGUUCAUUUGUAGUGAACUUUUUUCCACUAGCUGACCAUUUAGAAACAUGUUUAUACAUUUAAUAGAAUUAUGUACUGUAGAUACUUCAUCUGGCUGGCACAGCUGAUCUCAAUACUCAAGAUACAGAUGAUCCACCCAUGACUGACACAAAAUUAUGUGCACGUUUCAUUCAACAACACUGUUCUAAAAUUAGCUCAGCUGAAAUAAGCUUGCAAAAAUAUCUGAAAUUCUCAUUUCAGAUUAGCAACAUUUGUGAAUUUAAAGAACCCGGCACAUGUGUUGCUGAAACGUUAGAACAUGGCUGCCAAAAAGUUAAAAUAAUCAGGGUGGGGUGAAAGAAAAGAAAAUGCUUUGGGAUGGGGAGGGGCCAAAACUACUGUGUUGCAAUAAAUGAAUACCUUUAAAUGAAAUAUCUCCAAGUUAGUAGCAUGAGGGAAGAGCAAGCUCUACUAGGCAAUGCCAUUUUAAUUAGUGUAACUACUGCAGACAUCUGGCAAAUAGUUUAGACAAAGCAGAAAUAGACUACAAAUCAACAAAUACUUAUUGCUCCAGAUUCAAGAUAAAUUCAGUUGAAAAGUACACUAUGUAACAUGUAGUUUUUAUUUGAAAUUAUUACUCCUACUUUUCUAUGCCUUCCUUUCUCAAUUUUAAUCAUGUUUUUACCUCUACAUUCAUUUCAAACUCCUAAUUUUUCCUCAUUAUAAAAACUAUUUCGUAAAUGUGCAUAAGUUAAUAUGAUGUACCAUGUCAGUAUUUUAACAGUUUACAGGACUUUAAGAUUAGAAAUCAAUGAGCACUCAAUUACACAUCUGUUUUGAGAGCUUUAGUGAAAAAGCUCUGAAUGCCUCAUCACCACCUGAAAUGUUGAAAGACCUUAAUUUAAUUAAUUGCACUGAAAGAGAAAUAGACCCAUAAAAUCAUAUGGCAUUCAUGGUUCAAGUGAUUACUGUAACAUAGUUCUAGAAGUUCCAAACAGUACCUGGGGACUUAUGCUUUCAGGUUUUCUUAAUAUGCAUAGCUUGCAGAUGAGAGCUACGAUUAUUGGAAUAUCCGAGUUACAUUCUGUUUAAUAACAUACGGAUAUAUCAACCAAAAGGGCAAAAUGAAAGUGAAAAAAACGAGGGGAGUAAGAACAGAGAAGAGGAAAGAGCAAAAUGAUGCUCAGAGGAAAGCAGCAUUAAUUGCUGAAUUACCAAGUAGUCAACAAAAUCAAGAGAAAAUAAAGCAAUCGCUACAUUCUCAAAUUAGUUUCAUGCCACAAAGCAUUUCAUAUAAUCAGUAAUUUAAAAUUUGUUCACAACAAAAGAUAUGCACUGGUAAAGUAUACAUUCUCUUCUCAUUUCCUUUGCUCUAUCUCAAUUUUCCCAUUUCUUCCUCCAACUCCUCCCUCCUUUCCUCUAUUUCAUCUUCCUCGUCUCAUUUUCACUUCACACCAUCUUCUCUUCCAUCAUCUUACUGCCUCUUACCUGCCUCAGAAUUCUCAUUAAUCUCUCCUCACCAAUAUACUUGGCCUCAAAAAAAAAAGUUUCACGUACUGUUGUUUGUUUUCUAAAAUAUAAUUCAAAACAUACAGAAAAUUUCUAGCAUGAGCUGCUCCACAUACCCUAGCGAAACCACUUACAGCUUCCUGCUGAGGCUUUUGAUCAUCCCUCAAAUAUCCAAAGCAGCUACACACUCUUCUCCCUGCCCUAUAGCAGAUACUUGCUGUCUCCUUUUACACUUUCACAAACAUACGUGCUGCUUGUUCUCUUCUCUUUAAGAGAACAGUAUUUUGUUUGUAUAUCUGCAGCCAAGUACAAACGCACUCUCCCUCUUCUUUCAUCUCUCCUGUUUUCUCAUUCAGAAUCCCUCUCCUGCUCCCUUCUUUUUCAAUUUUGUCCUCGGGGAUCCUUCUCUCGGUUCCUCCCUGAUCAUGUUCUUGCAACCUUAUUCAUACACCGUACUCUCAAGAGUUUUCCUACAAGAACCAAACCUCCCUUACAGUACAGGAUGAUCAGAAAUUCCAUAGCAUUAGAAGACAGUUUAAAGAAGUUAAAACUUUGAUUUGGAUUCCAGAAGAAUUAAGUGAUCUGGGGAGACAAGGGCAGGAUUUCUGGCUUAUACAGGCUUUGAGGUAGAUGUAGAAAUUACAGAUUAAAGCAUCUAUGAUUUCUACGAUUCCUAAGAUAUUCAACAAAAUGUGUCUAUCCUGAGUAAUCAUUUAUGCAGUGCCAAUGCUAUAAAAAUGCUGUGGUACGGUUUUAGAUGACAAAAUUAAAAAGCCAAAUGCAUUCAUGCUGUAUGCACGAGCUGUUUAACACUGCCAGUGAAGAAAAGGCAUACUUUAAAGUAUAUACUUUAUACUAAAGGCAUACUUUAAAGUAAAGAUACUGCUUGACUGGUUUGUAUCCAAAAGGCGUUCUGAUUAUUUUUCUUGAUCAGGUUAAAACUAUGUAUCUUUUUUCUUUUACACACAUAGCUAUUUAAGCCUUUUGUACUUACUAGGGUUUUUAUUUCUCACAAAUACAUACGAAAAAUAAUAAAAAAUAUAAAAAUAUUGUUGCGUAUUAUCUGUGCUAUACUACAUCUUAAGUAUACAAUAAAGGGAAAGAAAAGGAUACUUCACCUGACUAUCUGGCUACAGUCUACCACCACUGAAAAUUCAUUUGCCAAGCUGUCACACUAAAUUGGAACUCGCUGACCCAUUUUUCAGUUUUUAAGUUUUGUAAGCUAGUAACAAAAAUAGAAUCUUGAAUCAAAGUAAUUUAUGUUUAUACUUACUCGAAAGUAUUUAGAAACAAGAGCAAAUGCGUAUUAAAAAUUUCCACUUCUGCAAACAUGUUGCCAUCAACUGAUAAAAAUUUGUAUUUUAUAACCUUGGUAGCAUACCAAGGUUCAUGGAUGCAAUACUUGGUUGAACCAAACAUACUUGGUUCAUGGAUGAAAAUCAGCCAAGGCAAAACCCAUUACAAAAAAAAACCAACAACAGCAGAUGUAGUACUCAUACUUCUAAAAUAGCCCAGCCCCAAAGCAGCUGACUCACGGUAACAUGCCUGCCUGCCUGGUGCCCUCCCCUCUGCGGGAAGCAGCUGCUCAGCAGAAGCUCAGGCAGCAGCACGGACAGUGUCAGCACUCGCUCUUCCCACAGACGGACGUGCCCAGGGAAGGUCGGACGAGCUGGUCAAGACCUCUGCAUGGCAAGAAGAAAGGGACAACUUUCAAGCUCCUUGUCGGACAGAUCCAAAGAUCAGAUGAAGUCACUUUUCAGUGGAGACAGCCUUCUAAAGCAGAAAAAAGUUGCUUGGUCCCAAUGAAGGAGUGACGAUCCCAUGUGGUACACAGCGGGAGACAGACAGCCCACGACAGGGAAGUAAUGCUAUUCUCCUGUUUAAGCGCAGAAAUUUUAUUCUGUGGCUGAGAACUAAUUCUGAAGUGAUAGUCCAAAACCAGUAUCAUAGAGAGAGAACAUUCUAUAGCGUUUCAUUACGUAACAGAGCCAGAAUAAGGACAGUAAAGAGGCCAUUUGGAUCCACAAAUUGGGAAACCACUGCACCAGAGGCACUUGCAAAACGUAGCAAAACAGGACAUCUGCUUCCUAAAACAGGAAGAUGACACCUCCAGACCCCUCUGCGCUAAUCACAAUAAUUUAAGCACACACUUUGCCUUCCAGGAUGCCCUGGCUUCUCGCCCUUACCCACCACAACAGUGGCUCACAGACCAAGCCUACCACAAGAUGGCCACAGCAGAUCCACAACGUGCCAAGUUCUGCUCCACACAAAAGGGACCUGUUGCUUGUACCCACUUUCUCCAGCUAGCGCAGGGCCACGACUCUUCUCUUGAUGCAACAGACACCAACUCUUUCCUUGCAGUCCACAAGCAAGUUCGGAAAUUCAGAGCCAUAUGAAUGAUAACUACAUAUAAAUGACCUACAUAGGUACAAAUGGGAAACGGUGAACCACCUGAAGACCUAAAGGUACCAAAGUCUCUCUUGAUAUCUCCUCUUCUCACUUAGACCACAUUUUGAAUAAAAAUGCCCAAAUUCUCCAUGUUGGCAGGCCCCUAUCUUCUUCUACCAGCAUAAGAGAGCUGUCCAUUACCAUGCCUCUAGCCACCCCUCACAAUGCACAACCAGACUUACAGUUUACAGAAAAUCUCAAUCUGUGGGUGCA
Cygnus olor (mute swan) is the source of this 5682-nucleotide long non-coding RNA. RefSeq lists it as uncharacterized. The transcript has 4 exons. The record is from RefSeq and is a predicted model, not a curated record. Lineage: Eukaryota; Metazoa; Chordata; Aves; Anseriformes; Anatidae.